ACCUGCAGCCAUGCCACCUUGCAUUAUUAUCUCAUCAGCUCUUGCAAGCUAAGAAGUGUCAGUUCUGGUCAAUACUUGGAUAAGAGACCUUUAAGGAAAAUCCAGGAUGCUUUAGAAA
Ribosomal RNA from Chrysemys picta bellii (western painted turtle), 118 nucleotides. The record is from Ensembl. NCBI's taxonomy places the organism in Eukaryota, Metazoa, Chordata, Testudines, Emydidae.